UAACUAAAUCGUUUAUUUGCAGAUAUAUCGCUGGAAAAUGGCCAGCAGUUUCUACCACGCCCCAAAAGUCGUGACUAUCCGCAAGUGUUAGCUCGUA
This 97-nucleotide non-coding RNA is filed under the name Leuconostoc lactis. RNAcentral describes it as "Guanine sequence". It matches the Rfam family "Purine riboswitch aptamer". Rfam says of the family: Riboswitches are metabolite binding domains within certain messenger RNAs that serve as precision sensors for their corresponding targets. Allosteric rearrangement of mRNA structure is mediated by ligand binding, and this results in modulation of gene expression. Lineage: Bacteria; Bacillati; Bacillota; Bacilli; Lactobacillales; Lactobacillaceae. The record is from Rfam by way of RNAcentral.